RNAcentral lists this long non-coding RNA (2403 nucleotides) under Homo sapiens (human). RNAcentral's name for it is "HSALNT0177721". The record is from RNAcentral. Lineage: Eukaryota; Metazoa; Chordata; Mammalia; Primates; Hominidae.
GCCAUUUUCUGGAACAGAACAGGGAGGUAUUUGGAUAAAGCCAGGUACUUGGCGAGGCCACCACUCCUGCCCACAUGCAGUGCCCGGGAGCUGAAUGGAGGCUGCACUUUCCCACCAGCAGGCUCUGAAGAACCAGGAAGAAAACAGGAAGUCGAAACCAGGGCUAGGGACCUGGAGCAGAUUCCCACGCACGGCUGGGUCCCUGCUGUGACCCGCUGGACGACAGGGUGAUCAAGGCACCUGCGCUUUGUGGCACAGCUUCCCCCAGCCACCCAGGGCCUCAGGGGCGCAGGUCACAGGGGCCACAGGGGCCCUCUCUGUCCUCUCAAGGAGCUCGCCUGGGGGCCCUGCACGGAUCACAGAAGGAAUACAAAAGCCUCUUCAAGGAAAGGUUACGGUUAAGGAACCCAUAAACAAACUCGUGAAAGGAGGGCAGAUUAUGCCUUCAGCCAACCGGACAGGAACCAGGAAGUGAGUAGCUGAUCCGUAAGAACUGAGCAAAAACCAGCCAGGUGCAAAGAGUCCAAAGAGGCACGCGGAAGGCCUGCUGCUGGUGGGGACGCCAAUGCCUGCAGAGGGACUGCGGGAAGCCAGGGCCACUGAGCUGCUGCUCCCUUUCACCCUGUCUACAAGACAGCCAAGCGUAAGAGAAGCCAGAGUUGAAGUUAUCUUGGAACCAGACAGUGGAGGAUUGGUGAAUUUGGUCACCAGUGGAUGCUGGGCUUGCCACUAGGGGCCAAGGUGUGGAUCAAGGAGCUUCCAGCCAGAACCGCUAACAACUUAAGGAGAAAACACGUACUGGGGUGAGAUGAUCUGAAGGGUGUUUCCAACGAGAAUGACACAAAUACCAAGGACUGGAGAAGCCCUUGGAACAAUUGAUAAAGCUUCCCACAUUUUUUUUUUUUUGAGAUGGAGUCUCACUCUGUCACCCAGGCUGAAGUGCAAUCGCAUGAUCUCGGCUCACUGCAACCUCUGCCUCCUGGAAUCAAGGAAUUCUCCUGCCUCAGCCUCCUGAGUAGCUGGGAUUACAGGCUCCCACCACACCUGGCUAAUUUUGUAUUUUUAGUAGAGACAGGGUUUCACCAUGUUGGUCAGGCUGGUCUCGAACUCCUGACCUCAGGUGAUCCACCUGCUUCCGCCUCCCAAAGUGCUGGGAUUACAGGCAUGAGCCACUGCGCCUGGUCAAUUUCCCACAUUUUCUUAAGAUUAUGUUUGGCCUACAAAAGCUCAACCCAAAGCUAUCUUAUCAAGCUGGUAUGGAAUCUUUAUUUCAGCAAGGUGAUAUCCCCAAUAUGUAAUUCAACCUUUUGUUUAUUCCAAUAAUUAGUACGCAGGUGCUAUUUUAACUAAAAUUGUGUUAAAUUUGAGAUAAAAUCAAUGUAUUUUUGUAAUUUUGUUUUCACCCUGAAAAUUGGUCCUACUAUAAGACAAGAUGGGAUCACCCUUCCUGUGAUGGCUGGCUCCGGUGGAAGCCUGCGUGGGGCUCCCAUACCCCUCACCCUCCUGGACAGAUCGUCACCCUGUCUCUGCUUAAAUGCCUCUGGUAACAGGGAGCUCACUAAUCCACAAGGAAGUCUGCUCUGUUUUUGACACCUCUGACUAUUAAAGUUACUCUUUUUCUUUUCUUUUCUUUUCUUUUUUUUUUUUUUUUUAAGACAGGUUCUCUCUCUGUUGCCCAGGCUGGAGUGUAGUGGCAUGAUCACGUCUCACUGCAGCCUUGACCUCCUGGGCUGACAUGAUCCUCCUGCCUCAGCCUCCCAAGUAGCUGGGACCACAGGUCUGUGCCACCACAUCCAGCUAAAUUUUACUUGUUUUUUUGAGACAGGGUCUCACUCUGUUGCCCAGGCAUGGGCAUGGCUCACUGCAGCCACAACCUAUGUGGGCUCACUCAUCCUCCCACCUCAGCCUCCUGAGUAGCUGGGACUACAGGAACGCACCAUCACGCCCAGCUCAUUUUUGUGUUUUUUUGUAGAGACAGGGUUUCGUCAUGUUGCCUAGGCUGGUCUUGAACUCCUGAGCUCAAGCUAUGUAUCCUCCUGGGCCUCCCAAAGCACUGGGAUUACAGGAGUGAGCCACGGUGCUCAGCCCAAGUUAUUCUUUACGCUGACCUUAAAUAUACAUUCUCCCAAACUCACACCCCUUCUCCACAUGGUCAAGGUGUCUUAGUGACGGGGUGAAAAAGCUGGAGUUGAGUUGCAUCUUGGCUUUGAUCCCUACAGGCAAGCCAUGCAAUGACUGGGACUGUUCUUCCCUGUCUACAGAUGGGGGCUCCUUCCUUCCUUUUCUCUUUUGUGAACAUUAAAUGAUGCCAUGACAUGCCAUGUAGGAGGGCACUUGCUGAACAGCCAACACUCCUUUCCCGUUGGUCUUGCCCUGGCUCUGGGGGUCACACAAUUGCUACAG